RNAcentral lists this ribosomal RNA (468 nucleotides) under uncultured bacterium. Its description in RNAcentral is "partial 16S ribosomal RNA". It matches the Rfam family "Bacterial small subunit ribosomal RNA", at positions 28 to 507 of the family's 1533-position model. The record is from RNAcentral.
GACGAACGCUGGCGGCGUGCUUAACACAUGCAAGUCGAACGGAAAGGCCCUGCUUUUGUGGGGUGCUCGAGUGGCGAACGGGUGAGUAACACGUGAGUAACCUGCCCUUGACUUUGUGAUAACUUCAGGAAACUGGGGCUAAUACCGGAUAUGAGCUCCUGCUCCAUGGUGGGGGUUGGAAAGUUUCGGCGGUUGGGGAUGGACUCGAGGCUUAUCAGCUUGUUGGUGGAGUAGUGGCUUACGAAGGCUUUGACGGGUAGCCGGCCUGAGAGGGUGACCGGGCACCAGGGGACUACGGGAGGGACCAGAAUCGUACGGGCGGCAGCAGUCGGGAACCUUGCACAAUGGGCGGAAGCCUGAUGCAGCAACGCCGCGUGCGGGAUGCCGGCCUUCGGGUUGUAAACCACUUUCGCCUGUGACGAAGCGUGCGUGACGGUAAUGGGUAAAGAAGCACCGGCUAACUACGUG